AAGUCGUAACAAGGUUUCCGUAGGUGAACCUGCGGAAGGAUCAUUAACACGUAUCCAAACGUUAAAACCCCCCCCGUGAACAUUCAAUCCUGCUCUUGUAACCCGCGGCGCUUGCAAUCUCUGGUAAAUCAAUGUGGGAGGAAAGCAGUUUGAUUCAGAGACCUCUGGCCCGUGAGAAAAUUGGAACAGUUACAAUUCGAGCGGUAGGUUUAUAGGCCUUGUUUCCCCAAGCAGUCAGUGUCUGAAAGCGUCAUUGAUUGUGCAAGGAUAGCGCUUCACGAUUCCUGUAGACCCUUACAACCCCACAGUUUAUUGCAAAGCUCAAUGUAAUACAUUGGGUAAAAAAACUUGAACAACUGUUAACAAUGGAUAUCUUGGUUCUC
Molecule: unclassified non-coding RNA, 383 nt
Filed under: fungal sp.
Lineage: Eukaryota; Fungi
Description: partial internal transcribed spacer region
Rfam family: Eukaryotic small subunit ribosomal RNA (bases 1-46)
Source: RNAcentral